RNAcentral lists this ribosomal RNA (312 nucleotides) under Triticum aestivum (bread wheat). Its description in RNAcentral is "partial small subunit ribosomal RNA". Lineage: Eukaryota; Viridiplantae; Streptophyta; Magnoliopsida; Poales; Poaceae. The record is from RNAcentral.
AUGUAUGUAAGCACCUGCCAGCAUGAGCAGAGCAGGUGCACUGCCAUGCAUGUAAACCGACCCCUAAAUAAAAUCUCCCGUGGUUUAACCUAUACUUGUGUUUGUACUAUCAACUUGCGAGGUGCCUGGGUUGUUACUAGACCAGCUGAAUGCUCUCUUGAAGCAACGUAUGCACCGCUUGGAAUCGGUGUAUCUUUAUACACCUGUGUAUUUAUUUUACAGGUGUAUAUUUUUCUUAGAAGAAAAAGGCUGCGCCCCUGUUCCAUUUCAGAAGAAACGAAACAACGAUCCAGAGUGUGUUACAUCAUGUAG